This 433-nucleotide ribosomal RNA is filed under the name uncultured bacterium. RNAcentral's name for it is "partial 16S ribosomal RNA". It matches the Rfam family "Bacterial small subunit ribosomal RNA", at positions 29 to 507 of the family's 1533-position model. The record is from RNAcentral.
AACGAACGCUGGCGGCAUGCCUAACACAUGCAAGUCGAACGAGACCUUCGGGUCUAGUGGCGCACGGGUGCGUAACGCGUGGGAACCUGCCCUUAGGUUCGGAAUAACUCCCCGAAAGGGGUGCUAAUACCGGAUAAUGUCUUCGGACCAAAGAUUUAUCGCCUUUGGAUGGGCCCGCGUUGGAUUAGCUAGUUGGUAGGGUAAAAGCCUACCAAGGCGACGAUCCAUAGCUGGUCUGAGAGGAUGAUCAGCCACACUGGGACUGAGACACGGCCCAGACUCCGACGGGAGGCAGCAGUGGGGAAUAUUGUACAAGGGGCGAAAGCCUGAUCCAGCAAUGCCGCGUGAGUGAUGAAGGCCUUAGGGUUGUAAAGCUCUUUUACCCGGGAUGAUAAUGACAGUACCGGGAGAAUAAGCUCCGGCUAACUCCGUG